RNAcentral lists this small nucleolar RNA (60 nucleotides) under Pyrobaculum aerophilum str. IM2. RNAcentral's name for it is "Pyrobaculum sRNA 206". It matches the Rfam family "Pyrobaculum sRNA 206". Rfam says of the family: Non canonical pseudouridylation guide sRNA features. Predicted to target 23S U1902 in Pyrobaculum. The record is from Rfam by way of RNAcentral. Lineage: Archaea; Thermoproteati; Thermoproteota; Thermoprotei; Thermoproteales; Thermoproteaceae.
UGGCGGCUGAGAGCCCCGGAGGGGCCCCGUGAGGCAACCGCAGUCGGUCCCCCUUGCACA